Molecule: ribosomal RNA, 478 nt
Filed under: uncultured bacterium
Lineage: Bacteria
Description: partial 16S ribosomal RNA
Rfam family: Bacterial small subunit ribosomal RNA
Source: RNAcentral
GAUGAACGCUGGCGGCGUGCUUAACACAUGCAAGUCGAACGAGAAGUGAAGACGGAAACCUUCGGGCGGAAGGCUUUAUUUCGAGUGGCGGACGGGUGAGUAACGCGUGGGUAACCUGCCUCAUACAGGGGGAUAACAGUUGGAAACGACUGUUAAUACCGCAUCAGACUACAGCACCGCAUGGUGCGGGGGUAAAAACUCCGGUGGUAUGAGAUGGACCCGCGUUCGAUUAGCCAGUUGGCGGGGUAACGGCCCACCAAAGCGACGAUCGAUAGCCGAUCUGAGAGGAUGACCGGCCACAUGGGGACUGAGACACGGCCCAAACUCCUACGGGAGGCAGCAGUGGGGAAUAUUGCACAAGGGGGGAAACCCUGAUGCAGCGACGCCGCGUGAGUGAAGAAGUAUUUCGGUAUGUAAAGCUCUAUCAGCAGGGAAGAAAAUGACGGUACCUGAGGAAGAAGCCCCGGCUAACUACGUG